This 484-nucleotide ribosomal RNA is filed under the name uncultured bacterium. Its description in RNAcentral is "partial 16S ribosomal RNA". It matches the Rfam family "Bacterial small subunit ribosomal RNA", at positions 30 to 507 of the family's 1533-position model. The record is from RNAcentral.
AUUGAACGCUGGCGGCAGGCCUAACACAUGCAAGUCGAGCGGAUGAAGGGAGCUUGCUCCUGGAUUCAGCGGCGGACGGGUGAGUAAUGCCUAGGAAUCUGCCUGGUAGUGGGGGAUAACGUCCGGAAACGGGCGCUAAUACCGCAUACGUCCUGAGGGAGAAAGUGGGGGAUCUUCGGACCUCACGCUAUCAGAUGAGCCUAGGUCGGAUUAGCUAGUUGGUGGGGUAAAGGCCUACCAAGGCGACGAUCCGUAACUGGUCUGAGAGGAUGAUCAGUCACACUGGAACUGAGAAACGGUCCAGACUCCUACGGGAGGCAGCAGUGGGGAAUAUUGGACGAUGGGCGAAAGCCUGAUCCAGCCAUGCCGCGUGUGUGAAGAAGGUCUUCGGAUUGUAAAGCACUUUAAGUUGGGAGGAAGGGCAGUAAGUUAAUACCUUGCUGUUUUGACGUUACCAACAGAAUAAGCACCGGCUAACUUCGUG